UAACUAGUAAUAAACAGCAUCUGUGACAGUCUCGUUAUUUAACAAGACUUUGAUGACUGGAUUUUAUAAUGAUGAAAAUAUGUAUUUAUAAUGUAUGCAAACUUUUCUAGUCACGGUAUGACUGAAAUACUGCCGCUGUGACUCUAAAUGUUAACUCACUGACUCACUUUUUUAU
Molecule: long non-coding RNA, 175 nt
Organism: Haliotis rubra (blacklip abalone)
Lineage: Eukaryota; Metazoa; Mollusca; Gastropoda; Lepetellida; Haliotidae
Exons: 3
Source: RefSeq, a predicted model, not a curated record